This 433-nucleotide ribosomal RNA is filed under the name uncultured bacterium. RNAcentral's name for it is "partial 16S ribosomal RNA". It matches the Rfam family "Bacterial small subunit ribosomal RNA", at positions 29 to 507 of the family's 1533-position model. The record is from RNAcentral.
AACGAACGCUGGCGGCAUGCCUAACACAUGCAAGUCGAACGAGACCUUCGGGUCUAGUGGCGCACGGGUGCGUAACGCGUGGGAACCUGCCCUUAGGUUCGGAAUAACUCCCCGAAAGGGGUGCUAAUACCGGAUAAUGUCUUCGGACCAAAGAUUUAUCGCCUUUGGAUGGGCCCGCGUUGGAUUAGCUAGUUGGUAGGGUAAAAGCCUACCAAGGAGACGAUCCAUAGCUGGUGUGAGAGGAUGAUCAGCCACACUGGGACUGAGACACGGCCCAGACUCCUACAGAAGGCAGCAGUGGGGAAUAUUGGACAAUGGGCGAAAGCCUGAUCCAGCAAUGCCGCGUGAGUGAUGAAGGCCUUAGGGUUGUAAAGCUCUUUUACCCGGGAUGAUAAUGACAGUACCGGGAGAAUAAGCUCCGGCUAACUCCGUG